CGGCUGAAGGAACCAGGCGGGUCCUGAGGGGCGGGCCGGAGCGGACUGAGGGGGAGCCCGACAAGUGCAAGCCCUGAGGGAGCCCAGGCUGGGCGACCACAGAGGGUGGAUUAAAGUGAGGCGUGCAGUUGUUAUGAAGCAUCAUGGUCUUUCACGGCAUCUUCCAGGAGAAAUUCCAGGUCCAUUUCUCGCCCCUGAUUAUGUGAUCACAUGCCAGAGCACUCCGGGAGAGGGGAAGAUAAAGGCACUGACAGAUGAAGUCUAGUCCAAGAUGAAACAGAGAAGCAGUGGAAGGCUGAGCUCCUGCAAGCUAAUUUACACCUUUAUUCUUCACUUGCUUUCCUGGCAGCAGGAUCUGCAUAUAAAGCUCCUUCCUCUGCACUGCUUUCACCCACAAGUCUGAUUGAAUUGCACAUUGCAGAAUGCAGUGUGUGGAGGGCAUGCACAGCACCAGUGUGAGCAGGUGUCCCCCAUGUUGGAUGAGCUGGUGCAGCUGCAGGAAGAAAAUGACAACCGUGGGGUGUGUGAUUCGUUCCCUGGCUGAUGCCUCUCUGAGCAUGCAAUGGCACUGAGCCACCCGAAAGCAGCAGCGAUGCAGGCGAUGUGACAGUGAAAGGGCAGAUGCUCUGGACGGUAGAGGAUGCUAGAGAAGAGGUAAAUUUUCCACGGCGCUUUUCUCCAUUAGCAUCCCCCGAACCUCGCGUGGUAUCAGCUGGAGCCAGCGUCUCCCCGUUCGGGGGAUGCUUUAGGCACUGCGAGCUGCGUGUGUCUGCCCGUGUGUGCCCGCUCCUCCAGCUGCGUGCCUGCCACUGCUCGCAAACCCGGCACCUUGAAAUGGGUCCAGAAGUUUGCAUGAUCUCCCUCUAAGCACAUCCGCGGAGUCUGAGAGCUCUCUGCUCGGGAGAUCGCGGUGUUUCAGCCGCAGCAGGCAGGGAACCGCGCUUCCCCCCAUCUCCUGCCUCUGCCGAGCCACCAAGUGUUUCUGCCUCGGCUAUAGUUUGCUUCCUCAUUCCCACAUGUUCGGGCGGCAACCUUGGGAUGCCGGGGUGGCAGUCUGAUUCUUUGUCCUUCUAGGCUAUUAAAUGUAUUUUAAUUGAAUCGGGCAGAGAAAAAAACCCCAAAACACAUACACAAAGCCCAAGGCAUCAGGACUAGGUCCCCCUUCCCCGAAACAACAAACGGUUAAAUAAAUAACGAGAUGCCAAACCAACCAUCACCAAAAGAAUAAGCCAAAAAUCAGCGUCAGCGCCGCAGGAAACGGGAAAGUUUCUGCGCUCUGAAGCUGGUACCGCACGUCAAAGCGAGAAUCCAGGGGGAGGGGAGCGGAGCGCGGCCUCAGCCCAGCGCCUGCGAGAGCCGGGGAUGCGCUGGUGCGCCCAGCCCUGCAUCCCGGAGCGACUGCCCGAGAGAUGCUGCUGUGACUUGGUUCUGCGCCGCGAAAAGAACGGCUCCGAGCCCCCACCCCCGUCUCCUCCCGCCCUCCUCUUCCUUCCCCCUCCCCCGGGUCCUGCGGGGAGGCGGGUUUAAGGUGGG
Molecule: non-coding RNA, 1533 nt
Organism: Cyanistes caeruleus (blue tit)
Lineage: Eukaryota; Metazoa; Chordata; Aves; Passeriformes; Paridae
Source: RefSeq, a predicted model, not a curated record